UACAGAGGGUGCGAGCGUUAAUCGGAAUUACUGGGCGUAAAGCGUGCGUAGACGGUUAUUUAAGUCGGGUGUGAAAGCCCCGGGCUCAACCUGGGAAUUGCAUUCGAGACUGAAUAGCUAGGGUACGGUAGAGGGAAGUGGAAUUUCCGGUGUAGCGGUGAAAUGCGUAGAUAUCGGAAGGAACAUCAGUGGCGAAAGCGACUUCCUGGACCAACACUGACGCUGAGGAGCGAAAGCCAGGGGAGCAAACGGG
RNAcentral lists this ribosomal RNA (253 nucleotides) under uncultured bacterium. Its description in RNAcentral is "partial 16S ribosomal RNA". It matches the Rfam family "Bacterial small subunit ribosomal RNA", at positions 524 to 776 of the family's 1533-position model. The record is from RNAcentral.